RNAcentral lists this unclassified non-coding RNA (329 nucleotides) under soil metagenome. RNAcentral describes it as "partial contains 5.8S ribosomal RNA, internal transcribed spacer 2, and large subunit ribosomal RNA". The stretch from base 1 to 120 matches the Rfam family "5.8S ribosomal RNA", at positions 35 to 154 of the family's 154-position model. The record is from RNAcentral.
GAUGAAGAACGCAGCGAAAUGCGAUAAGUAGUGUGAAUUGCAGAAUUCAGUGAAUCAUCGAAUCUUUGAACGCACAUUGCGCCCCUUGGUAUCCCGAGGGGCAUGCCUGUUCGAGCGUCAUUUCACCACUCAAGCCUGGCUUGGUGUUGGGCGACGUCCCCUUUAGGGACGCGCCUCGAAACGCUCGGCGGCGCGGCACCGGCUUUAAGCGUAGCAGAAUCUUUCGCUUUGGAAGUCGGGGCCCCGCCUGCCGGAAUACCGACUUGUAAGGUUGACCUCGGAUCAGGCAGGGAUACCCGCUGAACUUAAGCAUAUCAAUAAGCGGAGGA